Molecule: ribosomal RNA, 253 nt
Filed under: uncultured bacterium
Lineage: Bacteria
Description: partial 16S ribosomal RNA
Rfam family: Bacterial small subunit ribosomal RNA
Source: RNAcentral
UACGAAGGGGGCUAGCGUUGCUCGGAAUCACUGGGCGUAAAGCGCACGUAGGCGGAUUGCUAAGUCAGGGGUGAAAUCCUGGAGCUCAACUCCAGAACUGCCUUUGAUACUGGCGAUCUCGAGUUCGGGAGAGGUGAGUGGAACUGCGAGUGUAGAGGUGAAAUUCGUAGAUAUUCGCAAGAACACCAGUGGCGAAGGCGCACAUCUGGCCCGAUACUGACGCUGAGGCGCGAAAGCUAGGGGAGCAAACGGG